CACCCCUCAGCUGUGGCCACCCUGGUGCCACUCCUUCCCUGGCCACCAUGUCACGGCAGCUCAACAUAGACACGUUACGGCAGAACUUCUGGAAGGAGGAAUAUCUGAGGGAAAAGAUGUUGCGCUGUGAAUGGGGCGCUACCGCUACCUCAACACUCGAAAACUGGACAUGCCAGAGACGCGAUACCUCUUCCCCGUCACCACCAGCUUCACGUAUGGCUGGCAGCUGGGCCCCCCAGUGAAGCAAGAACUGGUCUCCUGCAAGAUGUGCCGCAUUGAGUCAUUCUUCCGCAAGAACGGGGCCUUCGCACUGCUUGAUCCCCGAGACCUGGCCCUCUGACCGUGGGCCAGGUGUGGGCUUAGGGGAGGGAAGAAGAAAUAACAGGCCUCCUGGUGGGGCAAAGCUGCUGUGUGUGUCUGUGCCCCUCUGCUCUCCCUGUCCCUGAGGUUGCAUUCAGGCCUUUCUGAAACUAUCUGACCUGCAAGUUGCCCUCUUGCUUUUUCCGUAACCCUCAUCUCUUUAAUCAUCCCUUUGAGGACCCAGCAAUGACCAGAGGGGGCUGGGAAAGGCGAGCACUACUUCGCAGGCACGGGAUCCUCAGCACCAGGGGAACACAGUAGUUCCAGGAAGU
This 632-nucleotide long non-coding RNA is filed under the name Pan troglodytes (chimpanzee). RNAcentral's name for it is "long non-coding RNA NONPTRT015878". Lineage: Eukaryota; Metazoa; Chordata; Mammalia; Primates; Hominidae. The record is from RNAcentral.